Non-coding RNA from Cervus elaphus (red deer), 752 nucleotides. The record is from the annotation of a RefSeq genome assembly. Lineage: Eukaryota; Metazoa; Chordata; Mammalia; Artiodactyla; Cervidae.
CCCACAAUCCUGGUUUGUCCUUGAAGUAUGAGGCUGGUGGUUGGAGUAACUGUUUUUCUGACCUUGGGACUCAGCACACCCUGGCACAUUCCUUCCUGCUCCUCAAAGGAGAUCUUCCUUCCUCUGUAGCCAUGCUCUCAGCGACUCUUCUGCUACUUGGAAUGCUCUUCACAGCAAGAGGAACUGGAGCCCAGUUAGUGACCCAGCCUGACGGUCACAUCAACGUCUCUGAAGGAAACCGUCUGGAGCUGAGAUGCAACUAUUCUUAUGGUGGAUCUAUUUAUCUCUUCUGGUAUGUCCAGUACCCAAGGCAAGGCCUCCAGGUUCUACUGAAGUAUUUAUCAGGACCCACCCGGGUUAAAGGCAUCAAAGGCUUCGAGGCUGAAUUCAAGAAGGAUGAAAAGUCCUUCCACCUGAAGAAAGCUUCAGCCCAUGGGAGUGACUCUGCCAAGUACUUCUGUGCUCUGUGUGACACAGUGCCUGAGUCUGCAGAGGGAGCUGAACAAAAACCUUCUCAGACAUUGGACAGAGCAGGAUGGAAGAUUAAACGCCAUGACAGUCCCUGCAGAACGCCGCAGCUCACUGCAGUUUCCUCUUCGCAGACCACAGACUCGGGCACUUACUUCUGCGCUGCGCAGCGGAGCGCUCCCCAGGCACCUGCGGCCUCUACACGAACCCUCCUGGGGCUCAGCCCCUCCUCCAGCCACAGUCACACCGUGAGGCUGUUACCAGAUACCCAGGAAUGGAAUUGA